RNAcentral lists this long non-coding RNA (5240 nucleotides) under Equus asinus (donkey). RNAcentral describes it as "lncRNA (ENSEASG00005038379.1)". The record is from RNAcentral. Lineage: Eukaryota; Metazoa; Chordata; Mammalia; Perissodactyla; Equidae.
GAGGCACUUACCUAGAAGAUAUGAAGCAGCUAGAAGUCAGGGCUGUUCUGCAUAGUGUACUUUCCUUGAACAGAGGUUAUAGAUAUUAUCUCCCUGCUGUAGUAAAAUGUUUAAUACUCUCCUGGGAAGAUGUCACUUCCAGCUCCUGGCAUAGUGAGGUCUGAAAUAGUUUCCCCUCAACACAUGCCUGUGACAGCCUCUGUGAAGACUUGCUUGGCACUGAAUUAAAAGUCCCUUAUGAAGAUGAUGAUAAAGAGCCACAAGCAAAAGUUUUUCUAAACCACGUACCAGCAAUGUACGAAAGUGCUGUAUAUAAGGCACUGGAGAGCCAGAACUGAAUUAUGAAGAUCCUUAGAGAGUGACCUCAGUCUAAUGAAGAAGACAGAUAUAUAAAGCUACUUAGUGGGGGCAUACACAUUGUGUCCUACUCUUUUCCUUGGUUUUUAUUUCUAAUUAUUUUGCUUUGUUUCUAAAGUCUCAGUUUUAAAAGACAAAUCUGAUUCAAUUGUGUUUAGAUCAGAGAACGGACCCAGGGUGCCUAAUUCAGUCAUUCAGAGAUUAUUAUCCUAGUGCUUAGUUAAAGAUUAAAGUUGACUGAGGCUGUCAGGACAACUUUUACUGCUCCAAGAAACAAACCUUCAAGGAUUCCUUUUCAGAUGCUGAAGAACAACAAUUAAGUUGUUGAUGACACCAUCUCCACCCUCAACAACCAUCCCACACCCCAGUGGGGCUCUUCUGCUGGCAAAGUGUGGGGACCCUUAUUCCAUUCUUACUGACAGUUACUUCUUUCAUUACAGCAAGUUUCUAUGCCUGUAUACCUUAUAGUAGAUGGUGUGGGGGACUGGAAUUGGCCACCCCAAGAUAUGUCUCUUUGGCAUGAGGAUUAUUUUGGGCUGGUUACUUUUAAAAAACUGCAGACAGGAAAGAAACUCUGAAAAGUAGAAUUUACUUACCCUUUGUUAAGAGAUAUUUACAUUGUAAAGGAAAUCUCCAUCUGUAAAGGUGCCUCCCUCUCUGUACCAGGAAGGAGGGAUGACCUUACCUCUAGGAACUCUUACCAAUGUAGAAGGCAAGGACUGAAGUCUGCAUAAUAACCUGACUCUUGUUUACUGUACUUAUGUGGUACAUGAUCCCAUGAUCGACUUCCACCCCCCACCCCCAUCAUCCUCCUUUGCCUUUAGCUGAAGAUGAUAUUUAAGGUGGUGGUUUCAGCCAUUUUGGCAAGUUGCUCAGGUUGCCUGAGCCUCUCCCAUGUAUACACGUUAUAAAGCUUUGUUGAAUUUUCUCCUGUUAUUCUGUCUCAUGUGAAUUUAAUUCGUUCUCUGGCCACAAGAACACAGAGCAGGUAGAGGAAAUGUCUUCCUCCCCUACAAUGGUGAGGAGGCUUUUAAAAAAAUUGCACAAUUGGACUUUUUCACAGCUUGGCUACAUUCUGGCUUGGAUGUUCAGUAGUUCUUAAAACAGGCUUUAUAUCUUUUAAAGUCAAUUCCUUUUUAUAAAUGAAAGGAGAAAGAAGAUAGCAUUCAUGAAAUGCCUGUCCAGGUGUAAUAUAUCUCAUGAAGGAAACUGAAGACCUAAGACAAAGAUCAGCAAACGUAGUCUGUAAUUGUAGAGCUAGAUAGUAAAUAUUUUAGGUUUUGUACGCUGUACUCUUUCUGUUACAACUUUGCUAUUUUAGCAUGAAAGCAACCUUAGACAAUAUGUAAACAAAUGACUAUGCUGUGUUCCAAUAAAACUUUAUUGAUGAACCCUGAAACUUGAAUUUUAUAUGGUUUUCAUGAGUCAUGCAAUAUUAUUCUUCUUUUGAUCUUUUUUCAACCAGUUUAAGAUGUACGAACUGUUCUUAGCUCAAAGGUCAAAUAAAAAUAGGAGCCAGGCCAGAUUUUGGCUACAGGCCAUAGCUUACCAACCCCUGACCUGAGAUAUAAAGUACUUGUCUAAUCUGAACCAGAGCAAGAUCCCUAUCUUUUCAAUUGCAGCUCAAUACUCUCUUCACUAUGCCCCAUACCACUCUAUAGCCCACUAAAUAAGAGAGAUGCUGACAGUGAUGUGAGAACAAAAUCAUGAGAAAAUAGGGAGGAAAAAUUGAAGACACUUAGCCCAUAAAAACAAAGGGCACAUUUCCAAGUUUCAAUACUCCUUUGAUUGGGUAGGUACAUAGUCACAGGAGCUGGAUGAAGUUGGAUAGGUUUUAAUCUUAUCUUUGAGUUCAUUUUAGCUUGGAAUCAGUUGGGGAGUAGACAGGAGACAAGUCCUGUUCCAAUAGCAUGGAUUUCAGCAGGAAUGGCCACAUUAAGUACAAAUGGUAGCAAUUCAGGAAACAGGGCCAUCACCCGUCACCUCAUUUUGUUGCCGCCAACAUUUUACUCAUGCUGCUACCCAUCUCUGAAAUCUUCUCUAUAGUACCAUCAUCUCAAACUGAGAUUCCAUCCCGUUUUUAAGAGCCAUAUUAAAUGACUCCUUUCCUUGAAUCCUUCUCGGUUUCCUCCACAUAGAAGAAAUAGCUCUCUACUUUGUCCUCUAUAAUCAUGUUAUAUUUUGCUCGAGACGUAUUUGUGCAUCAGAUAUACAAAAGACAGGUAGCAACUCAUCCCUUAAGAAAGGAAGUCCAAGUGGAGACUAGAGAGAAUCAGUUCAUCAAGGUGAGAAGUGUGGGCUCAGAGCAUAGCUCUAGAUGGGUACUGACUAAGCUGUAGAAACUGAACUGAAGCCAAAAUAUCCCAAGGUGUUAUAGGUUUAGGAAUGUUUCAGUCAAUCUUGAAGUUCAAUCUGCAGGUAUGACAAUGUAGUAAUGGCUCCAAGCCAAAGCUACAAUUUGAGAGUCAACCAGGCUGCAGCCAUAUUUCCAAAGGUUUUGCUCUUACUGGAUAGUGAAUAGAGGUUAUGCAGAGACUAUAGUCCUAGGAGGAUCAAAGUCAUGAAAACUGAGGCUCAGAACAGAGUUCUCAGACAAAUAGGGUAAUAGUAAUUAUAAUAACAGUAAUAAUAAUGAUAAUAAUAUUAGCUAGUAGUCUUGAGUAAUUAUACCAUGAGUGCCACUGUUAGGUAUUUUAUAUGCAUUAACUCAUUUAAUCCUCAAAACAAUCUUAUGAGGUAGGUAUUACUAUAGCCCCAAAUUUAUAUAUGAAGAAGUUAAUCCUUCCAAAUCUUGAGUAUCUAUCCCGAGGUUAAAUAGAUAGUGUUGGUCUGCUGGAAAAAGGACCCCAACACAAGUAUUCCUAUAAGCCAGUAGAAUUAACCAGAUGAAUCAACACAAGAGGAGUUAAUGAGGACUGAAAAUGUAGUUUAUCUCUGAUUAACCAGUUUUUAGGUACAACUAGAGUAAAGUGUUCUAAAACUAUAUAGAAGUACGUCAAAUGUGUGAUUUUCCCCAAAUCUUGGGUAUGAGUCAUAAUUCUAAACCCUAUUCACAAUAAAAGGCUGGAGCUUGUGAUAGUCAAUUGAGGUUGGCUUAGAAAUUACAGCAAAUAGGGUGCAUAGGUUUGUCCAGUGGGAAAGGUAAAUAUGCAAAGGCAAGGGAACAAGACAAGAGUUUAUAGACGAGACGAGUGAGGGAAAGUAAAUUUUAUAGGAUGUUUGCCAGGUUUCUGGUUUAGAUGAUUAAAUGGAUAGUAAAGACUUUCAAAUGGGAAGGAAUAGUGAAUGGUUUUAAAUUUCUCAAAGAUGCCAAAUAAUACAAGGACUAAAAAAUUAACAGUGACAGCAAUUCCACUUCUGAGUAUUUAUUUGAAGAAAAUGAAAAUACUAACUCAAAAAGAUAUCUGCACCCCCAUGUUUAUUGGAGCAUAAUUUACAAUAGCCAAGAUAUGGAAACAAUCUAAGUGCCCAUUGAUCUACAAAUGGAUAAAGAAAACAUUAUGUAUACACACACACACACACACACACACAGUGGAAUAUUAUUCAGCCAUAAAAAGAAUGAAAUCUUGCCAUUUGCAACAACAUGGAUGGACUUUGAGGUUAUUAUGCUAAGUGAAAUAAGUCAGGCGGAGAAAGACAAAUACAUCACGAUGUCACUUAUAUGUGGAAUCUAAAAAAGAAAAAAAAGGCUCGCAGAGAACAGAAUGAUGGUUGCCGGAGGUGGAGGUUGUUGAAUAGGCAAAAAUGGGUGAAAGGGGUCAAAAAAAUUAAUGUUGAAUUUUUCAGUUAGAAAGUCUUUGGUAACCUUGACUUAUACUCUUCUAGUAGAAGGAUAGGGCGAGAAUGCAGAAGUCCAGGGAUUGAAUAUAAAACAGGAGUGGAAAUAAUGAGUAAACUCUCAGAAAGAAGUCUCAAGAAUCAUACCCUAUGCCACAUGACAAGGCAAGAUUUCCUCAAGGUAGAACACUACUUAAAGCAAAUAUGAGGUCUCUGAAAUGUUUUUAAAAAUAUAAAAGCUUCAAGAGUAUAUAUGCUAACUUCUCUUCAGCCUUAAUGUCUCAAUUUAGAUACCAACUCCUCUAGAAAGACUCUGCUAAGACUGAUUGGGAGCCCCUCCAAUGUACUCUUACUGCACCUUGUGACUUAUAACAAUUUAAUGUGUAUCAUGUUUCAUUGAAAUAUCUUAUUUUCCCUUUUUGUCUGUUUCAUGAAGAUAAUAAUAAUACUUGCUUCACAGGGUUACUUAGAGAACCAGUGUUUGACUCACAGGAAGCACCACAUCAUGUCAGGUCCUGUUAUUAUCAUCAUUGUCAUCAUGAUAACUGGAUGAAUCUAAACUACCUAAGUGAGGGGGAAGUCUUAUCCACAUUAUCUAGAAUAAGUAGGAGCUUUCAAUAAAUAUUUGUUGAGUUACUGAAUAGGUGGAGAAACACAUUUACUAAUUAUCAAUUGAUUAAUAAAUGCCAUAGAAAUAAACUUUGAAGUUGAUUUUGAGAUUAUUUCCUGCUUUCCCAAAAGGAAGACCAAUAGCUGUAUACCAGAUUGAAAAGGACAAUAUUUCUCGCCAGAACCAUGAAGAUCUCUAAGUGCCCCAAAUAUCUAGUAAUUAAGCAAAAGUAAAAUUAGCCAUCAAAACAUUUAAAUUUAUGCCAUAAGAACUUACCUUUCUGAGAAAGCUUCUCUCACAGGGUAGAAUUUCCAAGACACUUCAAAUCAAAGGGUAGGUGGUUUUGUGAGUAUCUUGAGACAUAAACCCUCUAGAGAACAAUUUGGCAAUAUCUAUCAUAAGCCUUAAAAAUUCAGCAAUUCCUUUCCUAGAAAUAUCCUAAAAUAGUAAGUAAGAACAUGAAUAAAUGUUUGGUUUUAAAGAUACUUAUAACAAC